This 375-nucleotide ribosomal RNA is filed under the name uncultured Streptococcus sp. Its description in RNAcentral is "bacterial SSU rRNA". It matches the Rfam family "Bacterial small subunit ribosomal RNA", at positions 1001 to 1382 of the family's 1533-position model. Lineage: Bacteria; Bacillati; Bacillota; Bacilli; Lactobacillales; Streptococcaceae. The record is from RNAcentral.
UAGAGAUAGAAGUUACUUCGGUACAUCGGUGACAGGUGGUGCAUGGUUGUCGUCAGCUCGUGUCGUGAGAUUGUUGGGUUAAGUCCCGCAACGAGCGCAACCCCUAUUGUUAGUUGCCAUCAUUCAGUUGGGCACUCUAGCGAGACUGCCGGUAAUAACCGGAGGAAGUGGGAUGACGUCAAAUCAUCAUGCCCUUAUGACCUGGGCUACACACGUGCUACAAUGGUUGGUACAACGAGUUGCGAGUCGGUGACGGCGAGCUAAUCUCUUAAAGCCAAUCUCAGUUCGGAUUGUAGGCUGCAACUCGCCUACAUGAAGUCGGAAUCGCUAGUAAUCGCGGAUCAGCACGCCGCGGUGAAUACGUUCCCGGGCCUU